RNAcentral lists this ribosomal RNA (698 nucleotides) under uncultured bacterium. RNAcentral describes it as "bacterial SSU rRNA". It matches the Rfam family "Bacterial small subunit ribosomal RNA", at positions 806 to 1500 of the family's 1533-position model. The record is from RNAcentral.
ACGAUGAUUGCUAGCCGUUGGGCAGCUUGCUGUUCAGUGGCGCAGCUAACGCAUUAAGCAAUCCGCCUGGGGAGUACGGCCGCAAGGUUGAAACUCAAGGGAAUUGANCGGGGGCCCGCACAAGCGGUGGAGCAUGUGGUUUAAUUCGACGCAACGCGCAGAACCUUACCAGCCCUUGACAUCCCGGUCGCGGACUCCAGAGAUGGAGUUCUUCAGUUCGGCUGGACCGGAGANCAGGUGCUGCAUGGCUGUCGUCAGCUCGUGUCGUGAGAUGUUGGGUUAAGUCCCGCAACGAGCGCAACCCCCGUCCUUAGUUGCUACCAUUUAGUUGAGCACUCUAAGGAGACUGCCGGUGAUAAGCCGCGAGGAAGGUGGGGAUGACGUCAAGUCCUCAUGGCCCUUACGGGCUGGGCUACACACGUGCUACAAUGGCGGUGACAAUGGGACGCUAAGGGGCAACCCUUCGCAAAUCUCAAAAAGCCGUCUCAGUUCGGAUUGGGCUCUGCAACUCGAGCCCAUGAAGUUGGAAUCGCUAGUAAUCGUGGAUCAGCAUGCCACGGUGAAUACGUUCCCGGGCCUUGUACACACCGCCCGUCACACCAUGGGAGUUGGUUUUACCUGAAGACGGUGCGCUAACCGCAAGGAGGCAGCCGGCCACGGUAGGGUCAGCGACUGGGGUGAAGUCGUAACAAGGUACC